UGAAUACGAGACGCUAAGGCGUCGAAGUAGUGUAUGUCAUACUUCCAAGAAAAGCUUGCACUGUCAUAGAUAAAAAACGCCUGUACCAUAACCGACACAGGUGGGUAGGUAGAGUAUACUAAGGGGCGCGAGAUAACUCUCUCUAAGGAACUCGGCAAAAUAACUCCGUAACUUCGGGAGAAGGAGUGCCUUAUUCGUAAGGUUGCAAUAACAAGAUCCAAGCAACUGUUUAUCAAAAACACAGGUCUCCGCUAAGUCGUAAGACGAUAUAUGGGGGCUGACGCCUGCCCAGUGCCAGAAGGUUAAAGAAGUUGGUUAGCAAUUGCGAAGCUGAUAACUGAAGCCCUGGUGAACGGCGGCCGUAACGAUAACGGUCCUAAGGUAGCGAAAUUCCUUGUCGGGUAAGUUCCGACCCGCACGAAAGGCGUAAUGAUUUGGAUACUGUCUCGGAGAGGGGCUCGGUGAAAUAGACUUGUCUGUGAAGAUGCGGACUACCUGCACCAGGACAGAAAGACCCUAUGAAGCUUUACUGUAACUUGAAAUUGAAAUUGGACUUUAUUCGCGCAGUAUAGGUGGGAGGCGUUGAUUAUAAUCUUGUGGGAUUAUUGGAGCCAUCAGUGAGAUACCACUCUUGUAAUGUUAGAUUUCUAACUUUGAAUCAUUAUCUGGUCAAAGAACAGUUUCAGGCGGGCAGUUUGACUGGGGCGGUCGCCUCCUAAACGGUAACGGAGGCGUACAAAGGUUUCCUCUGAACGGUUAGAAAUCGUAUCUAGAGUGUAAAGGCAUAAGGAAGCUUGACUGUGAGACCUACAAGUCGAGCAGGGACGAAAGUCGGUCUUAGUGAUCUGACGGUACUGAGUGGAAAGGCCGUCACUCAACGGAUAAAAGUUACUCUAGGAUAACAGGCUGAUCUCCCCCAAGAGUUCACAUCGACGGGGAGGUUUGGCACCUCGAUGUCGGCUCAUCGCAUCCUGGGGCGGUAGUACGUCCCAAGGGUUGGGCUGUUCGCCCAUGAAAGCGGUACGCGAGCUGGGUUCAGAACGUCGUGAGACAGUUCGGUCCAUAUCCGGUGUAGGCGUUAGAAUAUUGAGAGGAGCCUUCUUUAGUACGAGAGGACCGAGAAGGACAUACCUCUGGUGUACCAGUUAUCGUGCCAACGGUAAACGCUGGGUAGCUAUGUAUGGAGUGGAUAACCGCUGAAAGCAUCUAAGUGGGAAGCCCACCUCAAGAUAAGUAUUCUCAUC
This 1244-nucleotide ribosomal RNA is filed under the name metagenome. RNAcentral's name for it is "bacterial LSU rRNA". It matches the Rfam family "Bacterial large subunit ribosomal RNA", at positions 1564 to 2818 of the family's 2925-position model. The record is from RNAcentral.